This 433-nucleotide unclassified non-coding RNA is filed under the name soil metagenome. RNAcentral's name for it is "partial contains 5.8S ribosomal RNA, internal transcribed spacer 2, and large subunit ribosomal RNA". The stretch from base 1 to 120 matches the Rfam family "5.8S ribosomal RNA", at positions 35 to 154 of the family's 154-position model. The record is from RNAcentral.
GAUGAAGAACGCAGCGAAAUGCGAUACGUAAUGUGAAUUGCAGAAUUCAGUGAAUCAUCGAAUCUUUGAACGCAUAUUGCGCUCUCUGGUAUUCCGGAGAGCAUGCUUGUUUGAGUAUCAGUAAACACCUCAACUCCCUUUUCUUUUUUGAAAUGGGAGCUGGACUUGAGUGAUCCCAACACUUUUCUCACUGGAAAGUGGCGGGUCACUUGAAAUGCAGGUGCAGCUGGACUUUUCUCUGAGAUAUAAGCAUAUCUAUUUAGUCUGCCUAAAAAACAGAUUAUUACCUUUGCUGCAGCUAACAUAAAGGAGAUGAGUUCUUGUGCUGACUGAUGCAGGAUUCACAGAGACAGCUUUGCGGCUGACUUUGUAAACUCGAUCUCAAAUCAAGUAAGACUACCCGCUGAACUUAAGCAUAUCAAUAAGCGGAGGA